Molecule: long non-coding RNA, 1811 nt
Organism: Mangifera indica (mango)
Lineage: Eukaryota; Viridiplantae; Streptophyta; Magnoliopsida; Sapindales; Anacardiaceae
Exons: 2
Source: RefSeq, a predicted model, not a curated record
UUUAAAAUGAGUAGUAUAUAUGUAUACACAGAUUAAAAUAAAGCUAAAAAUUUCAAUUUCCCUAAUCCUUAUAUAUUGCAUAUGCGUAACUGUAAGAAAGUUAAAAAUCUUGGCUAAGGAUUUCCUCCAAGUUUGCAGUUUUGGCUUGUGGUCUGUUUCCUGUCAAGGGAAUUUACUGGACUGUGAGAGUCCUUUAUGUUGCAGCUCUUUUGUGAUGAUUUGGAAUCUUGCCCAGAAUUUUUGGUUUUUGGAUUGUGGAAUUCCCAAAAUAUGGCGCCUAUUUUUCUGGUUUAAGGUUUUCUGCAGGCUGGAUGCUCUCUUUCUGCAGAUUUCUGCUUCUUCCUGGAGCUCCUUUAGCUUUAGAACCAGAUUGAGAGUUUGCAAUUCUGCUUGCCUUUCUUCUGCUGGUGCCCAGGUCUGCUCUCUGUCUUACUAUAAAGACAUUUACCAAAGCCUCUGUUGGUUGCUGGGUUUUAUUGUAUGGACGGUAAAUUCUGUGUGUUUUUUGAUUGGUGGUCAGGCCUGCAUUCUCAAAUUCUUGUUAAGACAAGUUUGAAUAGGUUAGUCGUAUGUCUCUUCUUCAAACCUAUCAUAGUAGAUUCUGUGAUAGGUCAACGAGAGAAGAUAAUCAGAAUUUUUGUGAAUUUUUGUUUUUUGCAAGCUGUCUCUGUGUAGUUUUUUACUGACCCUUUUUUUAUUAGGCCGAACUUAAUAUGUUCCGAGUCCCUUUUUUGGGUAUCCCAUUGUUUUUUUAUCUUUUUACAUUAAAAACAAAAAGAAAGUUGAAAGUCUUUCGUCUUCUUCAUCCUUUUGCUUCUCAUUCUUCUUUAUCAAUGUUACUCACGAAUCCCAUGUAUUCUAACCAGACAAAAUCGAAUAAAUGUAGAUGCUAAAUAACAAAAGCAAGGAAAGAGGAAUGAAAAAGCAUAUGUGGAUAAGAUAAGCCCAAUGACCCAUCAAAUCAAUGAAGACUUUACUCCACAACGUUUGUACGCACUGUGUAGAGAGCCACUGCACAUUAUUAAUGUCAAUUGGUGGACCCAGACUCCAUGACUUAUCUGCAACUUUUUUUAGCCUCAUUCAUCUCUUCACAUGCCAGUUUUCCUUGAUGGAAAUUAAGCCAGCGCCUACACCCAGCUAUUUCCUUUGAAUUCCUUGGCCUACCUAACAAACAAUUAAUUAGCUUCACGUGGCUUUGAUGUUUACCUUGUCUUCCCCCAUCUCCUCGUAGUUGUUCUGGCAGAAUCCAAUGGCCCCAUGUCAGGCUUUUGUUCCUAAAUUUUCUCAUCAUUUAAUCACACAAGUGGAUAAGAUCACAUAGUAAGGCAACACGAGUCUGCUUCUUCUAGCUUUUGCUUUUACCUUUGGAAAAGUGGUUGGAGAGGAGAAGAGUGGAGAGGUCAAUUUUGCAGCCAAUGAGAUGGAUGCGGCAACAAGAAGAAGAUGGACCAUAUUCAAUGUAACCAGUAUAAUUUUUUAAGUGAAGGCUACCUCCAUUGAAUCAGAUUCCAAUAUCGUGCUCUUCUGUAUCUCAUCUAACAGGCGUUGGAGAUUCUGAGAGAAACAUACACUCUCUCUCUCACCAGCAUACAGCCAUUGCUUUAGCCAUUAAGUACAUUGCUUAUUCUAGUGGGUGGUCACUGUUCCAUAAAUGUUCUCCAAAAGGAGAAAAUUAUUGGCUCUUGCUAAAUCAGACAGACAGCUGGAAGGAAGGGCUUCAGGUCUUAUUUUCCCACCAUUUUAGUUUGUUUUUAUGCAUUUUCUGCUCUCAAAAUUAAUAACAGUAGCUACCACCAAUUUUUCGUGAUGGC